RNAcentral lists this long non-coding RNA (389 nucleotides) under Homo sapiens (human). RNAcentral describes it as "non-protein coding lnc-NXPH2-12:1". The record is from RNAcentral. Lineage: Eukaryota; Metazoa; Chordata; Mammalia; Primates; Hominidae.
GUUCGAAGUGGCAAACACCAGGAUAAAGAGGACAGCUACACAGCACUCUCAGAAAUCUACAGCAGUGAAAUCUUUAACGGAAGACUGUCAUCUGCCUCUGUGCUUUCUACGGGAUUGUUUUGGGCCUUUACAUUCCUCAGCACUUGAAUUUUCAACUUAUCUGCUGCAUUUCUUCAAAUGCUGAUUUGUUGUAACUCAGAAAUUAUCUUAAAAGGAAGUCACGAAGGAGGAGCCCAAGAACUCGUAGCUAGAAGGUGUCAGAAGCUGCAUUUAGGGGAAUGAGAGUGGUAAGAGAAGUCUUGGAGCAAGAAUGCAGGACACCAGGGUAAAAGUGCAGUCCAUAGAAUCCUUCCCUAAGCGCGCUGAACACGACGAGGUCAUAGAUACUU